CCAAUAGCGUAUAUUAAAGUUGUUGCAGUUAAAAAGCUCGUAGUUGAAUUUUAGGCCUGGCCGGGCGGUCCGUCUUUUGGCGAGUACUGUCCUGUUGUCGGGUCUUCCUUCUGGUGAGCCAGUAUGUCCUUAAUUGGGUGUGCCGGGGAGCCAGGACCAUUACCUUGAAAAAAUUAGAGUGUUUAAAGCGGGCUAUUGCUUGAAUAGAUUAGCAUGGAAUAAUAGAAUAGGACGUUGUGGUUCUAUUUUGUUGGUUUCUAGGACCACCGUAAUGAUUAAUAGGGAUAGUUGGGGGCAUUAGUAUUCAAUUGUCAGAGGUGAAAUUCUUGGAUUUAUUGAAGACUAACUAUUGCGAAAGCAUUUGCCAAGGAUGUUUUCAUUAAUCAAGAACGAAAGUUAGGGGAUCGAAGACGAUCAGAUACCGUCGUAGUCUUAACCAUAAACUAUGCCGACUAGGAAUCGGGCGACGUUAUUUUCACGACUCGCUCGGCGCCUUAGA
Molecule: ribosomal RNA, 499 nt
Filed under: uncultured Glomeromycotina
Lineage: Eukaryota; Fungi; Glomeromycota
Description: partial small subunit ribosomal RNA
Rfam family: Eukaryotic small subunit ribosomal RNA
Source: RNAcentral